Molecule: ribosomal RNA, 198 nt
Filed under: uncultured bacterium
Lineage: Bacteria
Description: partial 16S ribosomal RNA
Rfam family: Bacterial small subunit ribosomal RNA
Source: RNAcentral
ACGCUCGACACCUACGGGAGGCAGCGGUGGGGAAUAUUGCACAAUGGGGGAAACCCUGAUGCAGCGACGCCGCGUGAGUGAAGAAGUAAUUCGUUAUGUAAAGCUCUAUCAGCAGGGAAGAAAGUGACGGUACCUGAGUAAGAAGCCCCGGCUAACUACGUGCGAGCAGCCGCGGUAAUCUGAGCGGGCUGGCAAGGC